GUGUUCUCUUCAGCAGCACCUAUAUUAAAAUUGGAAUGAUACAGAGAAGAUUAGCGUGGCCCCUGCACAAGGAUGACAUACAAAUUUGUGACAGGUUCCAUAUUUUG
RNAcentral lists this small nuclear RNA (107 nucleotides) under Carlito syrichta (Philippine tarsier). The record is from RNAcentral. Lineage: Eukaryota; Metazoa; Chordata; Mammalia; Primates; Tarsiidae.